RNAcentral lists this ribosomal RNA (477 nucleotides) under Asellus aquaticus. RNAcentral describes it as "partial 16S ribosomal RNA". It matches the Rfam family "Bacterial large subunit ribosomal RNA", at positions 1835 to 2597 of the family's 2925-position model. Lineage: Eukaryota; Metazoa; Arthropoda; Malacostraca; Isopoda; Asellidae. The record is from RNAcentral.
CUCUUGAAAAAUUUCAAGUAAUCUCUGCCCAAUGAAAGGUUUAAAUGGCUGCAGUAUCCUGACUGUGCAAAGGUAGCAUAAUCAUUUGUUUUUUAAUUGGAAACUGGAAUGAAAGAGGCGACGAGAGGUAGGCUUUUUAUUACACAAGUUAACUUGACAUAAAAGUUAAAAGGCUUUUAUAUUUCGGCGGGACGAUAAGACCCUAUAAAACUUUACUAACAACUUAUAUUGUUAUUGAACUAGUAGCAGGUUGUUGGUUAAGCUGGGGCGGCAAAUAUAUAAACAAUAUUAAUAUUAAAUAUUUAAAAUAGAAAAUUAGAACUUAAGUUAAAAUUUAAACAAGUUACUUUAGGGAUAACAGCAUAAUUUUUCUUGAUAGUUCUUAUUGGCAGAAAAGUUUAUGACCUCGAUGUUGAAUUGAGAGUCCUUUAAGGUGCAGCAGCUUUAAAAGGCAGUCUGUUCGACUGUUAAUUUCUC